RNAcentral lists this transfer RNA (85 nucleotides) under Felis catus (domestic cat). It matches the Rfam family "tRNA". Rfam says of the family: Transfer RNA (tRNA) molecules are approximately 80 nucleotides in length. Their secondary structure includes four short double-helical elements and three loops (D, anti-codon, and T loops). Lineage: Eukaryota; Metazoa; Chordata; Mammalia; Carnivora; Felidae. The record is from Rfam by way of RNAcentral.
GCCUGGGUGGCUCAGUCGGUUAAGCAUCCAACUUCGGCUCAGGUCAUGAUCUCAGGGUUCGUGGGUUCGAGCCCCACCCUGGGCU